RNAcentral lists this ribosomal RNA (529 nucleotides) under uncultured bacterium. RNAcentral's name for it is "bacterial SSU rRNA". It matches the Rfam family "Bacterial small subunit ribosomal RNA", at positions 84 to 610 of the family's 1533-position model. The record is from RNAcentral.
UUCUCUUGAGAGCGGCGGACGGGUGAGUAAUGCCUAGGAAUCUGCCUGGUAUUGGGGGAUAACGUCCGGAAACGGACGCUAAUACCGCAUACGUCCUACGGGAGAAAGCAGGGGACCUUCUGGCCUUGCGCUAUCAGAUGAGCCUAGGUCGGAUUAGCUAGUUGGUGGGGUAAUGGCUCACCAAGGCGACGAUCCGUAACUGGUCUGAGAGGAUGAUCAGUCACACUGGAACUGAGACACGGUCCAGACUCCUACGGGAGGCAUCAGUGGGGAAUAUUGGACAAUGGGCGAAAGCCUGAUCCAGCCAUGCCGCGUGUGUGAAGAAGGUCUUCGGAUUGUAAAGCACUUUAAGUUGGGAGGAAGGGCAGUAAAUUAAUACUUUGCUGUUUUGACGUUACCGACAGAAUAAGCACCGGCUAACUCUGUGCCUUGGCCGCGGUAAUACAGAGGGUGCAAGCGUUAAUCGGAAUUACUGGGCGUAAAGCGCGCGUAUGUGGUUCGUUAAGUUGGAUGUGAGAUCCCCGGGCUC